Molecule: transfer RNA, 74 nt
Filed under: Candidatus Nomurabacteria bacterium RIFCSPHIGHO2_01_FULL_36_23
Lineage: Bacteria; Candidatus Nomuraibacteriota
Also listed under: 2 other names
Description: tRNA-Gln
Rfam family: tRNA
About the family: Transfer RNA (tRNA) molecules are approximately 80 nucleotides in length. Their secondary structure includes four short double-helical elements and three loops (D, anti-codon, and T loops). Further hydrogen bonds mediate the characteristic L-shaped molecular structure. tRNAs have two regions of fundamental functional importance: the anti-codon, which is responsible for specific mRNA codon recognition, and the 3' end, to which the tRNAs corresponding amino acid is attached (by aminoacyl-tRNA synthetases). tRNAs cope with the degeneracy of the genetic code in two manners: having more than one tRNA (with a specific anti-codon) for a particular amino acid; and 'wobble' base-pairing, i.e. permitting non-standard base-pairing at the 3rd anti-codon position.
Source: RNAcentral
UGAGGGGUCGUCUAACGGUAGGACACAGGACUUUGAAUCCUGGUAUGAAGGUCCGAUUCCUUCCCCCUCAGCAA